UGGGGCGUAGCCAAGCGGCAAGGCAGCGGAUUUUGAUUCCGCCAUGCGGAGGUUCGAAUCCUCCCGCCCCAACCA
This 75-nucleotide transfer RNA is filed under the name Janthinobacterium lividum. RNAcentral describes it as "tRNA-Gln". It matches the Rfam family "tRNA". From Rfam's summary of the family: Transfer RNA (tRNA) molecules are approximately 80 nucleotides in length. Their secondary structure includes four short double-helical elements and three loops (D, anti-codon, and T loops). Lineage: Bacteria; Pseudomonadati; Pseudomonadota; Betaproteobacteria; Burkholderiales; Oxalobacteraceae. RNAcentral also lists the same sequence under 3 other names. The record is from RNAcentral.